This is an RNA transcript of Columba livia (rock pigeon), 4089 nucleotides long. It is a transcript of the gene named cadherin related family member 4, with no coding region annotated. The transcript is spliced from 19 exons. Lineage: Eukaryota; Metazoa; Chordata; Aves; Columbiformes; Columbidae. The record is from RefSeq and is a predicted model, not a curated record.
GGAGGGCAGCACCCGGUGCCCCGGUUGGCAGCACCCGCGAACACCGGGGGUCCCUGGGCGCGCAGGAAGUAACCCCGUUAAAAGGUCCCGGUGGAGGCACUCGCGGGCACCGCGCUGCCAAAACGAGUUUGGGUGCUGUAGGAGGGAAAGGUGACCCCGGCCACAGGGGCCGUGCUCUGACAGCGCCUACUAAUUGGGAGCUAAUAACAAUUAAUAGGAAUUCCAGGACAAAAGGCUCUGGUUUGCAAAUGAAGGAGAACACGGCCAAAAAUUACCUCCCAGCUAAUUCUCCCGGUUCCUGAGUGUGGUGAGGCAGCAAAACCCCACGGAGCAUCACUGCCCUCCUGCCCUGCACCGGCUGGGGCUGGCACUGAGGGGGUGGUGAGGGGCUGUGAGUGGAUGUGUGCAGGAGCUGGGGACACCGGAGCCAUGCCCUGUCCCUGCCUUAGGGCUGGGCUGGCAGCCACAGAUGACCGGUGUGACGCUGGGUCGGGGUGGUGCCCAGCACCCCUGGCAACGGGCACCAGCUUGUCCCAAACAGCCAGCAAGCCAUGGGCAUGCACAGACGCCUCAUCUUCCUCCUCCUCCUUUUCCUUCUCCUUCUCCUCUAUGCCCCAGGGCCAUCUCUGAGACCUCCUCAGGGUAUUGCUGGGACCUGGCAACCUGGGGUGACUCUCUUCUCUUUCCAGGGACUUUUGUCAGAGCAACAGACCUGCCUGACCUGCCACGUGUGGUGGCCCUGAAUGAGGAUGUGGCACCGGGCACCCUUGUGGCCAAGGUGAACGUGUCCUGCAGCAACGUGAGCAGCAGCCCCAACGUCACCCUGCAUGGCAUUGACCCUGGCCACCCCUUCAACCCCAUCGCUAUCAGCGCUGACCCUGUAGCCACCACCACAUUUUGGGCAGAGGUGACACUGCGUGCUGGUGCAGAGCUCGAUGCCCGCCAGGUGAACCAGUACACCCUGACCCUGUGGGCUGCCUGUCCCGGUGAGGAGGAGGUGGAAAAGCAGCUCUUUGUCCGGGUGACAGCAGACCAGGCACUGCGCUGUGACACCCCUUUCGCCAGCGUAGAGGGAGAUGUGGUACGGGUGCUGGCGGACGUGGCGCCCUGGACACCUCUGUACGCGGUGCUGCCCCAGCCACUUGGUGGACUGACGUUCAGGCUCCGAAACCAUGACACGCCACUCAUGCUCACCCGCCGGGGCCUGGUGCUGGCGCCUGCAAGCGGCUUUGACCCUAGCAAGGACAUCCAGACGUUCAGGCUGGAGAUUGAGGUGAUGGACCACCAUGGGCACAACUGUAGUGGGGCUGUGAGAGUGGAAGUGCUGCCAUCGCGCCGUCCCCGUGUCACAUUCCUUGAGCUGCAGCAGGCUGUGACAGUGCCGGAGGGCACCGGCCCCUUGGAGCUGGUCACGCAGGUCCGCGCCAGUGGUGACAAUGUCCGCUACGCCAUCCUGGCUCCCACGGCACCUGUGCUCUUCACCAUCGAUGAGACUGUGCCAUCUCCCACAGUGACAGGCGAGAUCCGCAGUACCCACCAGCUGGAGGUGGCCCACACACACCUCAUUGUCCGGGCUUACAACGCCUUGCACCCCACCGACCAUGCCACUGCCACACUGAACAUCACUGUACAGGGGACGGACCAGCGGGCACCCAGCUGCGUCCCAGCCAUCGUCGUGUCCCAGGUGCCUGAGACGAUGUCCCCUGGCAGCACCCUGGUGACACUGAGGUGCACUGGAGCUGAGGGGGACUUGCGUUAUGCCCUUGAGGGACCUCCUGCCUCCCGCUCCCGCUUCCGCAUGGAUGGGUCACAGCUGCAGCCUUGUGGGACACCCCGGCUGUGUGGGACAGCCCAGCUCUGCCUGACAACCCCCGUCCUGACUCGGCAGGUCAACACCACCCUGGACUAUGACUCAGACGCCGCAGACACCAUGGGCUUCCAGUUCACAGCCACCAUUGUGGUGACGGUGGGAGGGCAGCCCCCACAGAGCACCCGCGUGCCCAUGCUCGUGACAGUGACACCCGUCAAUGAAUUCACACCGGUAUGCCCAAAUGGUGCCACCUUCACCGUGAUGGAGACGGCAGCUUUCGGCAGCACCGUGGGGCGCGUGACCGGCACCGAUCGUGACUACCCGCGGGACAGCCUCGAGUACAGCCUGGAGGGGAGCCCCGGCCCCGCACAGCCCUUCUCCAUUGACACACAUGGCGAGAUCCGUGUGGUAGGACCCCUGGACUCCCAGCGGCACAAGAGCUACAGGCUGAUGGUGCGGCUGACGGACACCCACAAUGACCUGGACCCGGCAAACCGGCGGAGCUGCCUGUGUGAUGUGACUGUGCGCCUGCAGGCUGUGCCGGACCAGGUGCCGGUGUGCACCCCUGAGGUGCAGGAGCUGCGGAUCAUGGCUGGGGUGGGUGUCCACCAGCCUGUCACCCGCGUAGUGUGCCAGGCCAGCCCCAAUGGUGCCACACUGGCAUACGCCAUCACUGGAGGCAAUGAGGACGGGCACUUUCGGCUGGAGGGGAACACCCUGUUCUACCUCCCUGGUGACCUGGCUGAGCCCCGCACCUUCGUGCUGCUGGUGGAGGUGUGGGGUGGCCCCAGUGCCCCCCGGCGCAGCACUGUGGUGGCACUGGUGGUGCACGUCACCCCCCAGAGCACCGCAGUGCCACCCAGCACCACCCCCUGGCACACGACACUGCGGAAGGAGCCACUGGUCAUCACACGGACAGAAGCGGCAUGGCACCCGCCGGCCUGGUUUGUGGCCGUGCUGACCAUCUCCGGUGCACUGCUGCUGGCCACCCUGGGCUGCGCAGCCCGGAACCUGCUGUGCAGCAAUCAAGACCCUGGCAAGCUGCUCCUGGGUAAGAGGUGGGUGCUGGAUGGCUGGGAUGGUCAUAUCGGCAGCAAGGGGCAGCCAUGCAUGUUGCCACAGGCUCCUGUAGUGUCCUUGCAGGCAGCUGGGGAGACACAGCACGUGGAGUGUUUAACGUACCCCAUGUUUGGCUGUGGUCUGUGGGUUGCUGCACUGCGGCAUGGUCUCUGCCCCAGGGUGAGGAUGCAGCACUGAUGGGAGCCAUGGGUGCAGAGACAGUGAUUUGGCUGGGGGACACCCAUGUCGGUGGCUAGGCUGGGGCAGGAGCUCUGUGGUGGGCAGGGUGGGAUGGCACAGCGUGAGUGCUGCCGCCUGUCACAGGGCUGGGUCCUGGUGCCAGGGCUGGGCGUUGCUCACAAGGGGGAGCCCUGAUUUGCUGGGGAAGGUGCCCCGGGAGGAGGUGAGCAGGCUGCACACCCCUGGAAAGGAUGAACCAGGGGUGAGAGGUAGCAGAGGGGAGAGCCUGAGGAAGCACUGGAGCUGGCCCAGCCUGUGCCAGGCGUCUGCAUGGUAAGGAGGAGGCACGCAAGCCUGUGGGCAGGAUGACAGCUGCCUGCAGCAGCGUAACCACCUCAGGGCGGUGCACAGCUGGAUCCAUGUUCAUUGGUGAGGCUGGGGACAUGUUGCUUGGUGGCAUCAGGGCUGUAGUGACCAUGAAGGGGAGAAAACUUGGGCUCAGCCCUCGUGGGCAGUGCUGGCAGCAGGGGGGCUCUGGUGCUGCAUUUCCCCCAGCACACUGUCCUCCAAGCACAACAGCGGUGUGCACGGGCACGUGGGGACACACGCAGGUGUGCUGUCGGACUGGCUUCCACUCUUGAGCAUUGCUGAAAGGCAGUCGUGCUUGGGGAGCACAGCCCUGACUGCGAUCCCCUUCAGCACCCAGGGCCACCCAGACUGGGUAAGGGGAUGAUCAGGUAGGUGGAAGUCACUUGGGGUGAUGGGCUUGAUGUGUCACAGCCAGCAGUGCAAAACCCUGCUGGUGACCCGCUCCUGGCAGCAUCACUCGGGGUCAAGGCUGGGAGGCUUUCACUGACAAUGUGUUCCCCCCCGCCACCUCCACAGCUCCUGGGAUGUGGAGGAGCAGAGGGGCAGUGAGGAGGAGCAGGGCCACCCCCAGGCCAGCAGCCCGGGGCAGUUCGAUGGCCGUGCCCAGGACCCGUGCACCAGAAGGGACUAUCUCUUCAACAGCGUGACUGGGUCACGGCGCUGGAUCUGAG